CAGAUGUUUGUGAUCAGUUAGCCAUCACUAGGAAUGAUCUGAGAUUGGCCUGGGGUAUUUUAUGGAUAUUGUUGAGAUUCACAUUGGUCCAUUGUGAGUACUAUUCCUAAACCCAAAAUUCAGAAACCCUUAGGUGAUAAAAUCCCCUCACCCACUGUUUAAACAAUUUCUCUAUAUUAUAUGGGUUAGAUACAUCCUAAAAAGUCAACUAAGGUCAAAUAUGGUCUUAUAUGAUGCAGUUAUUUAAC
Non-coding RNA from Pelobates cultripes (western spadefoot toad), 248 nucleotides. Lineage: Eukaryota; Metazoa; Chordata; Amphibia; Anura; Pelobatidae. The record is from the annotation of a GenBank genome assembly.